AGAGAGUCUAUCAUUUGCAUAUACUGGUAUAUUCUAUUUUUUUCAGCCAACUGAAAAAUGAUUCCAAGAUUUUUAUUCUCAACAGAUUGGCAUUUCUUUUGGUCCUGUUUAAAUGUAUCCCUUCCAAUGGCCUAGAGGUUUAUUAUCAGCUUCCAUUGUUUUUCCUCUACUUUUUUUUUUUUUUUUUUUUUUGCGGUACGCGGGCCUCUCGCUGUUGUGGCCUCUCCCGUUGCGGAGCACAGGCUCCGGAUGCGCAGGCUCAGCGGCCAUGGCUCAUGGGUCCAGUUGCUCCGCGGCAUGUGGGAUCUUCCCGGACCGGGGCACGAACCCGUGUCCCCUGCAUCGGCAGGCAGGCUCUCAACCACUGCACCACCAGGGAAGCCCCUCCUCUACUUUUAUUAACAGAUGAAGGCAUUAUAUAACUUCUCUUCAAGGCUGUCUUUUGAUCUAUGGAGGAAGUUGCACUGAACUUCAAGGGAGUCUCCCAGUUCUCUCCUUUCACUGGAACCUCACGCUCACUGAACAGUGAUUCCUUGGGAAGCAGGGACCAGAUUUUGUGUUUCCCCCUCUGCACCUGUGGACUACUAUGGACUACUGUGGACUACUGUGGACUACUAUGGACUACCAGCUGCUCGGUAAGACCAUUUCAUUUUGUUUCUCUAUGAAGGGCUGCACUCAGGAAACUGAGAUCAGAGCCACAGUGGGAAACUUUUUGUGUUUUGAGACAUUUUUGUGUUCACAAUGU
Orcinus orca (killer whale) is the source of this 745-nucleotide long non-coding RNA. RefSeq lists it as uncharacterized. The record is from RefSeq and is a predicted model, not a curated record. The transcript is spliced from 3 exons. NCBI's taxonomy places the organism in Eukaryota, Metazoa, Chordata, Mammalia, Artiodactyla, Delphinidae.